GUUUUUAUAGUUUAUUUAAAACAUUGGUCUUGUAAACCAAAAAAAAAAGAAACUUUUUUAAAACU
This 65-nucleotide transfer RNA is filed under the name Eudarcia gwangneungensis. Its description in RNAcentral is "tRNA-Thr". It matches the Rfam family "tRNA". From Rfam's summary of the family: Transfer RNA (tRNA) molecules are approximately 80 nucleotides in length. Their secondary structure includes four short double-helical elements and three loops (D, anti-codon, and T loops). Lineage: Eukaryota; Metazoa; Arthropoda; Insecta; Lepidoptera; Meessiidae. The record is from RNAcentral.